AUUGAACGCUGGCGGCAUGCCUUACACAUGCAAGUCGAACGGCAGCACGGGUGCUUGCACCUGGUGGCGAGUGGCGAACGGGUGAGUAAUACAUCGGAACAUGUCCUGUAGUGGGGGAUAGCCCGGCGAAAGCCGGAUUAAUACCGCAUACGAUCUACGGAUGAAAGCGGGGGACCUUCGGGCCUCGCGCUAUAGGGUUGGCCGAUGGCUGAUUAGCUAGUUGGUGGGGUAAAGGCCUACCAAGGCGACGAUCAGUAGCUGGUCUGGGAGGACGACCAGCCACACUGGGACUGAGACACGGCCCAGACUCCUACGGGAGGCAGCAGUGGGGAAUUUUGGACAAUGGGCGAAAGCCUGAUCCAGCAAUGCCGCGUGUGUGAAGAAGGCCUUCGGGUUGUAAAGCACUUUUGUCCGGAAAGAAAUCCUUGGCCCUAAUACGGUCGGGGGAUGACGGUACCGGAAGAAUAAGCACCGGCUAACUACGUG
This 486-nucleotide ribosomal RNA is filed under the name uncultured bacterium. RNAcentral describes it as "partial 16S ribosomal RNA". It matches the Rfam family "Bacterial small subunit ribosomal RNA", at positions 30 to 507 of the family's 1533-position model. The record is from RNAcentral.